This 68-nucleotide transfer RNA is filed under the name Marmota monax (woodchuck). RNAcentral describes it as "tRNA.Ser". The record is from RNAcentral. Lineage: Eukaryota; Metazoa; Chordata; Mammalia; Rodentia; Sciuridae.
GGAUUGUGGCUCAGUGGUAGAGUGCUCACCUACUAUGCACGGGGCCCUGGGUUCGAUCCUCAGCACCA